RNAcentral lists this ribosomal RNA (396 nucleotides) under uncultured bacterium. Its description in RNAcentral is "partial 16S ribosomal RNA". It matches the Rfam family "Bacterial small subunit ribosomal RNA", at positions 361 to 774 of the family's 1533-position model. The record is from RNAcentral.
AUCUUGCGCAAUGGGCGAAAGCCUGACGCCGCCAUGCCGCGUGAAUGAUGUAGGUCUUAGGAUUGUAAAAUUCUUUCCCUGGGGACGAUAAUGACGGUACCCGGCGAAGAAGCCCCGGCUAACUUCGUGCCAGCUGCCGCGGUAAAACGAAGGGGGCUAGCGUUGCUCGGAAUUACUGGGCGUAAAGGGCGCGUAGGCGGAUCGUUAAGUCAGGGGUGAAAUCCCGGGGCUCAACCUCGGAACUGCCCUUGAUACUGGCGAUCUUGAGUAUGAGAGAGGUAUGUGGAACUCCGAGUGUAGAGGUGAAAUUCGUAGAUAUUCGGAAGAACACCAGUGGCGAAGGCGACAUACUGGCUCAUUACUGACGCUGAGGCGCGAAAGCGUGGGGAGCAAACA